UGUCAGGUAGAAAGUACAGUGGGACGUUAGCUUCCGAUGUCCAGCCGUAAAACCGCUGG
RNAcentral lists this ribosomal RNA (59 nucleotides) under Tildeniella nuda ZEHNDER 1965/U140. RNAcentral's name for it is "partial 23S ribosomal RNA". The record is from RNAcentral. Lineage: Bacteria; Bacillati; Cyanobacteriota; Cyanophyceae; Oculatellales; Oculatellaceae.